UAUUGCUAUUGCUCUGUGCUUCACACACUGUAGCAACUAGCUCGGGCACUCGUUGCUCUGCAGAGGUGGGCAGCAGCACAGCAGAGGAUGCCCAUGACCAGGCAGCAUCCAGCAGUAACAGCACGGGCACCGCUCCUCCAUUAUUGCCUCGCCCUGCAGACUCUGCUCCUCCAUUGAAGGGAACCACCGUCGCUCUUUUUCAGCUUGCUGUGUGCUCCAUCCAAAUCCAAAAUCCAAAUCCAACCAUGGCGCUCAAGAGGAAGAGUAGAUCCAUCGCCUUCCUCAACCGCCAUUGCUAGCUCCUGUAACUCAAGCAAGCUGCCAGGGGAUCUGGCUGGCGUUUCCAGGCGGUCGCUCAACACCCUACACCGGUCUUGCUGCAGCCGGCAGCGCCGGUAGGAAGAUUUCACCACAGAGCAUUUGGAGGCGGUUGCUCAAGCUGCCAGGGGUGCUGCUGCUUCUACUUGUUAUUUAACAUGAAAAUGUUCAGUCGUUAGCCUAAAAUACUUGACUCUAGUCUUCAGAAGCAGUGAACAGAAUAGAAGCUGUAAACAAAGUUGUAAAUGUUUCAGAUAGAAUGGUCACUACACCCACACCAGAUUCACAACAGUUAAGUGAAAGAGUGAGACUCAAGGACCUUGGUGGUCAGGAUGAGCAAUUCAUCCUGCAGGUUUGUUCACAUAAGAAAGGAACACACUUUUUGCUGUUCUUACUUUGAAAAUUACAAGGAAAAACUAAAUGAAACAGAUACCUUGUUCAAAGUCCAAACUUUAGCUCCCACUACUUGCAGCCUUCUAGGAAAGAAAGCAAUAAUAGUAUUCCUCCAAAUUGCCUGCAUUCUAAAGUGAAGGGUGUGUGUGUGUGUGUGUAUUAUACUGUAUGUAGUGUCGUUGUUCACUGAUUAAAGUGAACGGAAGAUCGCAGACUCUUCAGAUUAAGAAGGGAUCAACCAUUGAACGAUCUGCGCAAGCAAACAAAUGAACAAUGCUACAUUUUCGUGCAGUUAAUAUCUGUGUGAAUCAAGAUAGUGCUAAUGCCACAAUCGUCAUGCAUACAAAGACGCUGAAAUGUAGCCUUAUGCUUUUACAAUACAAGGGACCUUUGUACUAAAACGCUGCAUAUGCUGAAAUUAUGAAAAGCAGAUAGAAACUAUGCUUCAGCUAGACAUAUAUUGAACUAUAUUUUGGCUGAUCCACAAUAUUCUUCAGCUAAGCCCCCCAACUCUCAAACAAAAGUAGGCAUACAGUCCACUGUAAGAGUAGGUGUGGCAAUAACCAAUCUAUACUGUUUUAGAAGGUACUAGUAACUCCCUCUAACCCUUUUUAUGUGACAUGACAUCAUUGGUUUGCGUGAUUUAACUUUGACCAGUAAUUUCAUUUAUAAUAUAUGGGGUCGUCUAACCAAACAAGAUCUAAGUAGCUAUGCUUCCUUGGUGUUGGAGUGGAUACAUUUUUUUUCUGCAGAUGCAUUUUUUUCUUGUGUAUUUCCUUUGGUUUUCCUACAA
Molecule: long non-coding RNA, 1504 nt
Organism: Aegilops tauschii subsp. strangulata
Lineage: Eukaryota; Viridiplantae; Streptophyta; Magnoliopsida; Poales; Poaceae
Source: RefSeq, a predicted model, not a curated record